Molecule: ribosomal RNA, 253 nt
Filed under: uncultured bacterium
Lineage: Bacteria
Description: partial 16S ribosomal RNA
Rfam family: Bacterial small subunit ribosomal RNA
Source: RNAcentral
GACGGAGGAUGCGAGUGUUAUCCGGAAUCACUGGGCGUAAAGCGCACGUAGGCGGAUUGCUAAGUCAGGGGUGAAAUCCUGGAGCUCAACUCCAGAACUGCCUUUGAUACUGGCGACCUUGAGUCCGGGAGAGGUGAGUGGAACUGCGAGUGUAGAGGUGAAAUUCGUAGAUAUUCGCAAGAACACCAGUGGCGAAGGCGGCUCACUGGCCCGGUACUGACGCUGAGGUGCGAAAGCGUGGGGAGCAAACAGG